Molecule: ribosomal RNA, 497 nt
Filed under: uncultured bacterium
Lineage: Bacteria
Description: partial 16S ribosomal RNA
Rfam family: Bacterial small subunit ribosomal RNA
Source: RNAcentral
GAUGAACGCUGGCGGCGUGCCUAAUACAUGCAAGUCGAGCGAACAGACGAGGAGCUUGCUCCUUUGACGUUAGCGGCGGACGGGUGAGUAACACGUAGGUAACCUACCUAUAAGACUGGGAUAACUUCGGGAAACCGGAGCUAAUACCGGAUAAUAUUUCGAACCGCAUGGUUCGAUAGUGAAAGAUGGCUUUGCUAUCACUUAUAGAUGGACCUGCGCCGUAUUAGCUAGUUGGUAAGGUAACGGCUUACCAAGGCAACGAUACGUAGCCGACCUGAGAGGGUGAUCGGCCACACUGGAACUGAGACACGGUCCAGACUCCUACGGGAGGCAGCGGUAGGGAAUCUUCCGCAAUGGGCGAAAGCCUGACGGAGCAACGCCGCGUGAGUGAUGAAGGUCUUCGGAUCGUAAAACUCUGUUAUUAGGGAAGAACAAACGUGUAAGUAACUGUGCACGUCUUGACGGUACCUAAUCAGAAAGCCACGGCUAACUACGUG